Small nucleolar RNA from Loxodonta africana (African savanna elephant), 122 nucleotides. Ensembl annotates it as small nucleolar RNA SNORA11. Lineage: Eukaryota; Metazoa; Chordata; Mammalia; Proboscidea; Elephantidae. The record is from Ensembl.
AGACCAUGCUUGAGGGGCCUGAAGAAUGGCUCUGUUUACAUACAACACAACCAACAGGAAUUCCGGUUCAUUGUGACGGGGGCACACCUUGUGGCCUUCCUGUGAACAGUUGCCCUACACAU